This 506-nucleotide ribosomal RNA is filed under the name uncultured bacterium. RNAcentral's name for it is "partial 16S ribosomal RNA". It matches the Rfam family "Bacterial small subunit ribosomal RNA", at positions 29 to 523 of the family's 1533-position model. The record is from RNAcentral.
AGUGAACGCUGGCGGUAGGCCUAACACAUGCAAGUCGAACGGCAGCACAGAGGAGCUUGCUCCUUGGGUGGCGAGUGGCGGACGGGUGAGGAAUACAUCGGAAUCUACUCUGUCGUGGGGGAUAACGUAGGGAAACUUACGCUAAUACCGCAUACGACCUACGGGUGAAAGCAGGGGAUCUUCGGACCUUGCGCGAUUGAAUGAGCCGAUGUCGGAUUAGCUAGUUGGCGGGGUAAAGGCCCACCAAGGCGACGAUCCGUAGCUGGUCUGAGGGGAGGAUAAGCCACACUGGAACUGAGACACGGUCCAGACUCCUACGGGAGGCAGCAGUGGGGAAUAUUGGACAAUGGGCGCAAGCCUGAUCCAGCCAUACCGCGUGGGUGAAGAAGGCCUUCGGGUUGUAAAGCCCUUUUGUUGGGAAAGAAACCCAUCUGGUUAAUACCCGGGUGGGAUGACGGUACCCAAAGAAUAAGCACCGGCUAACUUCGUGCCAGCCGCCGCCGUAA